CCUACGGGCGGCAGCAGUAGGGAAUCUUCCACAAUGGGCGAAAGCCUGAUGGAGCAACGCCGCGUGGGUGAAGAAGGUCUUCGGAUCGUAAAACUCUGUUGUUAGAGAAGAAAGUGCGUGAGAGUAACUGUUCACGUUUCGACGGUAUCUAACCAGAAAGCCACGGCUAACUACGUGCCAGCAGCCGCGGUAAUACGUAGGGGGCAAGCGUUAUCCGGAUUUAUUGGGCGUAAAGGGAACGCAGGCGGUCUUUUAAGUCUGAUGUGAAAGCCUUCGGCUUAACCGGAGUAGUGCAUUGGAAACUGGGAGACUUGAGUGCAGAAGAGGAGAGUGGAACUCCAUGUGUAGCGGUGAAAUGCGUAGAUAUAUGGAAGAACACCAGUGGCGAAAGCGGCUCUCUGGUCUGUAACUGACGCUGAGGUUCGAAAGCGUGGGUAGCAAACAGGAUUAGAUACCCGUGUAGUC
RNAcentral lists this ribosomal RNA (465 nucleotides) under uncultured bacterium. RNAcentral's name for it is "partial 16S ribosomal RNA". It matches the Rfam family "Bacterial small subunit ribosomal RNA", at positions 338 to 795 of the family's 1533-position model. The record is from RNAcentral.